AGUGAACGCUGGCGGUAGGCCUAACACAUGCAAGUCGAACGGCAGCACAGUAAGAGCUUGCUCUUACGGGUGGCGAGUGGCGGACGGGUGAGGAAUACAUCGGAAUCUACUUUUUCGUGGGGGAUAACGUAGGGAAACUUACGCUAAUACCGCAUACGACCUACGGGUGAAAGCAGGGGAUCUUCGGACCUUGCGCGAUUGAAUGAGCCGAUGUCGGAUUAGCUAGUUGGCGGGGUAAAGGCCCACCAAGGCGACGAUCCGUAGCUGGUCUGAGAGGAUGAUCAGCCACACUGGAACUGAGACACGGUCCAGACUCCUACGGGAAGCAGCAGUGGGGAAUAUUGGACAAUGGGCGCAAGCCUGAUCCAGCCAUACCGCGUGGGUGAAGAAGGCCUUCGGGUUGUAAAGCCCUUUUGUUGGGAAAGAAAAGCAGCGGGUUAAUACCCCGCUGUUCUGACGGUACCCAAAGAAUAAGCACCGGCUAACUUCGUG
This 492-nucleotide ribosomal RNA is filed under the name uncultured bacterium. Its description in RNAcentral is "partial 16S ribosomal RNA". It matches the Rfam family "Bacterial small subunit ribosomal RNA", at positions 29 to 507 of the family's 1533-position model. The record is from RNAcentral.